This 1528-nucleotide ribosomal RNA is filed under the name Klebsiella pneumoniae. Its description in RNAcentral is "bacterial SSU rRNA". It matches the Rfam family "Bacterial small subunit ribosomal RNA". The record is from RNAcentral. RNAcentral also lists the same sequence under 1 other name. Lineage: Bacteria; Pseudomonadati; Pseudomonadota; Gammaproteobacteria; Enterobacterales; Enterobacteriaceae.
AGAGUUUGAUCAUGGCUCAGAUUGAACGCUGGCGGCAGGCCUAACACAUGCAAGUCGAGCGGUAGCACAGAGAGCUUGCUCUCGGGUGACGAGCGGCGGACGGGUGAGUAAUGUCUGGGAAACUGCCUGAUGGAGGGGGAUAACUACUGGAAACGGUAGCUAAUACCGCAUAAUGUCGCAAGACCAAAGUGGGGGACCUUCGGGCCUCAUGCCAUCAGAUGUGCCCAGAUGGGAUUAGCUAGUAGGUGGGGUAACGGCUCACCUAGGCGACGAUCCCUAGCUGGUCUGAGAGGAUGACCAGCCACACUGGAACUGAGACACGGUCCAGACUCCUACGGGAGGCAGCAGUGGGGAAUAUUGCACAAUGGGCGCAAGCCUGAUGCAGCCAUGCCGCGUGUGUGAAGAAGGCCUUCGGGUUGUAAAGCACUUUCAGCGGGGAGGAAGGCGAUAAGGUUAAUAACCUCAUCGAUUGACGUUACCCGCAGAAGAAGCACCGGCUAACUCCGUGCCAGCAGCCGCGGUAAUACGGAGGGUGCAAGCGUUAAUCGGAAUUACUGGGCGUAAAGCGCACGCAGGCGGUCUGUCAAGUCGGAUGUGAAAUCCCCGGGCUCAACCUGGGAACUGCAUUCGAAACUGGCAGGCUAGAGUCUUGUAGAGGGGGGUAGAAUUCCAGGUGUAGCGGUGAAAUGCGUAGAGAUCUGGAGGAAUACCGGUGGCGAAGGCGGCCCCCUGGACAAAGACUGACGCUCAGGUGCGAAAGCGUGGGGAGCAAACAGGAUUAGAUACCCUGGUAGUCCACGCCGUAAACGAUGUCGAUUUGGAGGUUGUGCCCUUGAGGCGUGGCUUCCGGAGCUAACGCGUUAAAUCGACCGCCUGGGGAGUACGGCCGCAAGGUUAAAACUCAAAUGAAUUGACGGGGGCCCGCACAAGCGGUGGAGCAUGUGGUUUAAUUCGAUGCAACGCGAAGAACCUUACCUGGUCUUGACAUCCACAGAACUUUCCAGAGAUGGAUUGGUGCCUUCGGGAACUGUGAGACAGGUGCUGCAUGGCUGUCGUCAGCUCGUGUUGUGAAAUGUUGGGUUAAGUCCCGCAACGAGCGCAACCCUUAUCCUUUGUUGCCAGCGGUUCGGCCGGGAACUCAAAGGAGACUGCCAGUGAUAAACUGGAGGAAGGUGGGGAUGACGUCAAGUCAUCAUGGCCCUUACGACCAGGGCUACACACGUGCUACAAUGGCAUAUACAAAGAGAAGCGACCUCGCGAGAGCAAGCGGACCUCAUAAAGUAUGUCGUAGUCCGGAUUGGAGUCUGCAACUCGACUCCAUGAAGUCGGAAUCGCUAGUAAUCGUAGAUCAGAAUGCUACGGUGAAUACGUUCCCGGGCCUUGUACACACCGCCCGUCACACCAUGGGAGUGGGUUGCAAAAGAAGUAGGUAGCUUAACCUUCGGGAGGGCGCUUACCACUUUGUGAUUCAUGACUGGGGUGAAGUCGUAACAAGGUAACCGUAGGGGAACCUGCGGUUGGAUCACCU